AAUUAACAAUAUUGUAAACAGUGUUUUGUUAAUUAAUGUUAAUUAAAAAAAAUUAAUUAUUAAUUAAAAUAAAGUAGUAUUUAUUCAUUAGACUCGAACAGUUAUGAAACUAUUAGUUGUAAUACUAAUAUGUGUACUACUGGUGCUUAUUAUUGACAUCAACUACUCAAUGGGACAGUCAGUCGGUCCACAUGGUUGUCCCGGUACCACCAUAGAGUGUGCCGAUUAUUGUGUUGACACACUAAAAAAACGCAAUGGCUUUUGCAAUAGUGAUGGUAAUUGUUUUUGUGGUAGUUAUAAAAAGAAAAUAUUAAUUAAAUAAUAAUAAU
This is a long non-coding RNA of Oppia nitens, 329 nucleotides long. RefSeq lists it as uncharacterized. Lineage: Eukaryota; Metazoa; Arthropoda; Arachnida; Sarcoptiformes; Oppiidae. The record is from RefSeq and is a predicted model, not a curated record. The transcript is spliced from 3 exons.